RNAcentral lists this transfer RNA (64 nucleotides) under Cavia porcellus (domestic guinea pig). It matches the Rfam family "tRNA", at positions 1 to 62 of the family's 71-position model. From Rfam's summary of the family: Transfer RNA (tRNA) molecules are approximately 80 nucleotides in length. Their secondary structure includes four short double-helical elements and three loops (D, anti-codon, and T loops). The record is from Rfam by way of RNAcentral. Lineage: Eukaryota; Metazoa; Chordata; Mammalia; Rodentia; Caviidae.
GGGGAUUUAGCUCAGUGGCAUGAGCUCCUGCCUGGCAAGCAUGAGGUCAUGAGUUCGAUCCCCA